Molecule: long non-coding RNA, 237 nt
Filed under: Lathyrus oleraceus (garden pea)
Lineage: Eukaryota; Viridiplantae; Streptophyta; Magnoliopsida; Fabales; Fabaceae
Description: Pisum sativum (pea) long non-coding RNA (PSAT_LNC014512)
Source: RNAcentral
AAAAAGAAAAUAAAAGCAUGAGAAUAUAAACAAAAAGUGGCCAAUGUGACUUGAACCCCCAACCUUGUGGUUACAGGCCAAAUGGCCAACCAUUGGGCCAAGUAUAUUCAGAUGAAAUAUAAAUACGCCCAUGCAUAAAUAAAAUAAGCUGGAAAUAAAAAAUGAAAAAAAACAAAGAGAGGGAUGCAACCUGAUACGAGGGAGGGGGUAAAAUAAAAAAAGUGUGGCCCAUUAAGG